CAGGACGAGGCGACGAUCAAAGCUGCGCGAAGUAUCAGGGAGGGCGGUUGUGUUACGCUUUCCUCGUCGGGCGAUUCGCAGAGAGUCCGGAUUCACCACAUUCGUACGUGUGUGCGCGGCGACCGGUCGAUGCGAGGGGAAACGCCGCGGUGAGAGAACGCAACGGGAAAAUGACGGCGCGUCGCUGUGUGAUUUGACAAGUGAAGAGGAAGCGCUCUCGGAUGGGAACAGUGUCUCGUUCGAAUACCGCGGUGCUUGACGCUUGUGGACUUUGAAGGUACCCCCGCCAUCCCCGGUGCAACCCUGCGUACGAGACGACCUCUUUUCUCUGCUAAUACCGGGAUCCCGAGCCCUGGACCGAGAAGCUUGGGAAUUAACGAGCGGAAGAGUAUCGGAGCGUGGGGAAGACGAGAACGAGGCGAGAAGGCAGAGAGGGUGAGUGAGAGACGAGAGGGUGGUGGUGAAUCGACGGAGCAGUCGAAGACGGGGCGAGGAUGACGGGCGAGGACGGGAAGUGCGGCGGCGCCGGCGGCGGCGGCGGCGGCGGUACCGGGACGAACGUGAACGUCAGCGACAACGCCAACAACGUGAACGUCAGCCAGCAGAACGGCGGCCCGGAAAAGGCGCCCGUCGUCGGCGGCACCAACGUGGAGACGCUGCCACGCGCCGGCAAGCAGAGCGAUCCCAGCACUGCGUUUCUACGGGCAGCUCGCGCUGGGCAGCUCGAGAAGGUCUUGGAGUACUUGGAGUCCGGAGUGGAUAUCAACGCUUCUAACGCAAAUGGCUUGAACGCUUUGCACCUGGCAGCUAAAGACGGCCACUUGGAGAUCGUGAGGGAGCUCCUAAAUCGCGGUGCGAUCGUAGACGCCGCUACUAAAAAGGGAAACACGGCGUUGCACAUAGCUUCUCUUGCUGGACAAGAGGAGGUUGUGCAAUUGUUGGUGCAACGAGGUGCCUCCGUGAAUGCACAAUCGCAAAAUGGCUUUACGCCGCUCUACAUGGCUGCCCAGGAAAAUCACGACUCUGUGGUCAAGUACCUCCUCAGCAAGGGUGCGAAUCAGACAUUGGCCACCGAGGACGGUUUCACUCCGUUGGCGGUGGCUAUGCAACAGGGUCACGACAAGGUAGUAGCCGUUCUGCUAGAAAACGACACUCGUGGUAAAGUUCGACUGCCAGCCCUACACAUCGCCGCGAAGAAAGACGACUGCAAGGCGGCCGCCCUACUUUUGCAAAACGACCAUAAUCCCGAUGUAACAUCGAAGAGCGGUUUCACGCCGCUUCACAUAGCGGCGCAUUAUGGCAACGACCGAAUCGCCUCCUUGCUUUACGACAGAGGCGCGGAUGUUAAUUUCGCGGCGAAGCACAAUAUCACACCGAUGCACGUGGCGGCGAAAUGGGGCAAAAUCAAAAUGGUGAAUCUCCUGAUGAGCAAGGGGGCGAACAUCGAAGCGAAAACGAGAGACGGUCUGACUCCUUUGCACUGCGCUGCCAGAUCCGGCCAUCACGAGGUAGUUGACAUACUCAUCGAGAAGGGGGCACCGAUCGGCUCGAAAACGAAGAAUGGUCUUGCGCCGUUGCACAUGGCUUCUCAAGGGGAUCACGUGGACGCCGCGAGGAUCUUGCUGUAUCACCGAGCUCCCGUGGACGAAGUGACGGUGGACUACCUGACCGCGUUGCAUGUCGCUGCGCACUGCGGCCAUGUGCGAGUGGCCAAACUGCUUCUGGACAGGAACGCCGAUCCCAACGCGCGGGCGCUCAAUGGAUUCACUCCCCUUCACAUCGCGUGCAAGAAGAAUAGAAUAAAGGUGGUGGAACUGCUUCUCAAGCACAAAGCUAGCAUCGAAGCUACGACUGAGUCUGGACUAACCCCAUUGCACGUAGCGAGUUUCAUGGGGUGCAUGAAUAUCGUGAUUUACUUGCUGCAACACGAGGCCAGCCCCGACAUACCGACAGUGAGAGGCGAAACGCCAUUACACUUAGCUGCCAGAGCGAACCAAACCGAUAUUAUUAGGAUACUUCUUAGGAACGGUGCCCAGGUCGACGCUCGAGCAAGAGAGGAACAGACACCGCUUCAUGUCGCUUCCCGCUUGGGUAACGUCGAUAUCGUGAUGUUACUGCUGCAACACGGUGCAGGAGUAGAUGCCACAACGAAAGAUUUAUACACUCCGCUUCAUAUCGCUGCUAAGGAGGGCCAGGAGGAGGUUGCAUCCGUAUUACUAGAAAACAGCGCAUCGCUUACCGCAACGACCAAGAAAGGAUUCACCCCCUUGCAUUUAGCGGCCAAGUACGGCAACAUGAACGUAGCGCGAUUAUUGUUACAGAAGAACGCACCCGUUGACGCUCAAGGAAAGAACGGGGUGACGCCUCUUCACGUAGCGUCCCACUACGACCAUCAGAACGUGGCUUUGCUUUUGCUCGACAAAGGAGCCUCACCUCAUGCCAUGGCUAAGAACGGACAUACACCUUUGCAUAUUGCCGCACGCAAGAAUCAGAUGGACAUCGCAACUACUUUGUUAGAGUACGGAGCAAAGGCCAAUGCGGAAUCGAAGGCGGGUUUCACGCCGUUACAUUUGAGUGCACAAGAAGGCCACACUGAUAUGUCGACUCUUCUUAUCGAGCACAAGGCGGACACAAAUCACAAAGCGAAGAAUGGCCUUACGCCUUUGCAUCUAUGCGCACAAGAAGACAAAGUGAACGUCGCAUCCAUUCUCGUGAAGAAUGGCGCCCAGAUCGACGCCAAGACCAAGGCCGGAUACACACCGUUGCACGUGGCGUCACACUUCGGCCAAGCAGCCAUGGUACGAUUCCUCCUGAGAUCCGGUGCAGCCGUUGACAGCAGCACCAAUGCCGGCUACACUCCCCUGCAUCAGGCCGCGCAGCAAGGACACACCCUGGUCAUUAAUCUGCUCUUGGAGAGUAAAGCUAAACCGAACGCCGUGACCAACAACGGGCAGACCGCUUUGGACAUCGCACAAAAACUCGGCUACAUCAGCGUCAUAGAAACGCUCAAGGUCGUCACGGAGACCAUCAUCACGACCACUCACACCGUCACCAUCGAGGAGAAGUAUCGAGUUCAAGCGCCCGAGUCUAUGCAGGAGACAUUCAUGAGCGACAGCGAGGACGAAGGGGGUGGUGAUGAAAUCGGCACCGCAGCCAUGAAUGUGUACGGGCAGCCUCCGCACGCGCAACACGUGUACCUUCCUUCUUACUACCAGGGCCAAAUGACCUAUACCCGUGAGGAUCCGAUGCUCAGCGACCAACAGCAGUAUCGAUACAUGACUGUUGACGACAUGAAAUCCAUGGGGGAUGACUCGAUGCGUGUGAACGUGACGGACGACGAGAGAGAUAAUCGACAUUCCGGAGCGCCGACCAUAACGGAGAUGAUCACGAAGGAGAAUUAUCAGCGUACGAACGCGGCCAAUCUCAAGCCGGACAAUGUGGACAUCAACAGGCACCCAGUGCACGUCGGCGCGUCCCUAGAGUCCCUAUGCACUUCGCUGGCAGCCCUCAGUACCGCGCCGAAGGGACAAGGAAUGUGGAGGGACAGCUUCCUGGUUUCCUUUCUGGUGGACGCGAGAGGCGGUGCAAUGCGCGGAUGCAGGCACAGCGGCGUCCGCGUGAUUGUUCCGCCGCGCAAAGCUGCGAUGCCCAUGCGGGUCACAUGCCGGUACUUGAGGAGGGACAAAUUAACGAAUCCACCACCCUUGAUGGAAGGGGAGGCGUUGGCCAGCCGCAUCCUCGAACUGGGGCCAGUGGGUGCAAAAUUCUUAGGCCCUGUUAUCAUCGAGGUACCACACUUCGCGUCGCUGCGUGGAAAAGAGCGGGAGAUAGUGAUUCUCCGAUCAGACAACGGGGAGACCUGGCGCGAACACACCUUGGAAGCCAGCGAGGAGGCUGUCCAGGAUGUGCUUAACGAGAGCUUUGAGGGAGAAGAGCUAAGCCAGCUGGAAGAUCUCCAGACGUCUCGCAUCGUUAGGAUACUCACCGUAGAUUUCCCACAUUACUUCGCGGUAGUAUCUCGCAUCAGACAAGAGGUACAUGCGGUUGGUCCCGAAGGCGGCACCGUAUCGUCGUCCGCCGUGCCACAAGUACAAGCUGUCUUCCCGCAAGCGGCCCUUACCAAGAAGAUCAGAGUCGGUCUGCAGGCACACCCGAUACCCGCGGAUCUCGUGGCUAAAUUACUCGGGAACCGAGUGGCAGUGUCGCCGAUCGUUACCGUCGAGCCGAGACGAAGAAAGUUCCACAAGCCGAUAACCUUAACCAUCCCGGUGCCGCAAGCGGCCAAUAAAGGCAUGAUCAACCAGUACUCCGGAGACGCGCCGACCCUGAGGCUCCUGUGCAGCAUAACUGGUCGUUCAGGGGGUCAGACUCGGGCAGUCUGGGAGGAUGUCACAGGUUCGACGCCGCUGACUUUUGUGAAAGAUUGCGUGUCCUUCACCACUACAGUCUCCGCCCGCUUCUGGCUGAUGGACUGCCGCAACAUCUCCGAGGCCACGAAAAUGGCCACGGAACUCUACACGCACGCGACCCAUGUGCCGUUCAUGGCCAAGUUCGUGGUGUUUGCGAAACGAGUCGAUCCGAUGGAGGCGAGAUUGCGCGUGUUCUGCAUGACGGACGACAAGGAGGACAAGACUCUGGAGCACCAGGAGCACUUCACGGAAGUCGCCAAGAGCAGGGAUGUGGAGGUUUUGGAAGGGAAGACGCAAUAUAUGGAGUUCACGGGCAAUCUCGUGCCUGUGCUGAAGACCGGCGAGCAGCUUCAACUGCCGUUCAGGGCGUUCAAGGAGAACAGAGUACCGUUCACCGCGAGGAUAAAGGACCCAGACGCCGCGGACAUGAUGGGUCGCAUCAUGUUCAUGAGCGAGCCCAAGGUGCCACGUGGUGAAUUACCACAAACACCCAUCUGUACGCUGAACAUCCUGUUGCCGGAGAAGAUCUCGCCGGAUACUGCGGUCUCCGAGCUCGACCUGCUCGAAUUGUCGAAGAACUACAGCUUCUUGCGCGACGGUGGAAUAAGCAGACCAGACGCCAUCCAUAGAGCGACUAUCCGUCUGACGGACAUCGCCAAUCUGCUGAAUACAGAUUGGGAACAGUUGGCGGAGGAGUUGAACAUACCGCCUAACGACGUGGCUCUAAUCAAGCAGGAGUACCCCGACAAACCCGCGCAGCAGGCCGCUGCAAUGUUCAAGAUCUGGCAGAACAACGGAAACAAAGCCACAGGAAACACGCUGGAGAAGGCGCUCAACAAGAUCGGUCGUGAGGAUAUCGUGAACAAGUGUAUCUUCAACGUCGAGUUGGUGACGGACGACGUGGAGAAGGCUGUCGCGCGAGUCAGAUUAGAUCAGCCCGGCUUUGACUCAUUGAAGGAGGAAUUGGGGCCGUCGCGAAACACAUCGCUCCGUCGUGAUGCAACGAUGGAUCCUAAGAUGGACCCUGAUUAUGAAGAGCCUGACAGAAUGAAGGACUCUGAAUCGGUCGAGGAUCUCAGUAUCACCGGCAGCGUACACGACAAACGAACCAAACAGCACGUCACAAUCACAAACGGCACUGUAUUCAACGGAACCUCGACCCCUAUCAAAGACAAAUACGCGAGCGACGAGAAAGAGCUCGGCGACAUGAUGGCCGAUUACCUUACGCACAAGUGUCACGUGGCCGACACGAUGAGCAAAAAGUCGCGCGACGAACUGGACGAUCCGGAGAAAAAACGGCAGAAAGUGAUCGCCGACGCCAACAAGAUAGUCUCUGGUGUAAUAGCAGACGCUGAGAAAGAGAAGGGGAAGUUAGCGAAGGAAGGGUGGUCGGUGGUAUAUGAUGAUGAUGCGCGGGACAGUAAAGAGGCGCGGGGUGCGGUAGGACAGACGUUAAUUAACGUACAUUUAGAUAGAACCGCCGCCGAGCCGGCGGGCAUAAUUCCGAAGGCGACCGACGAGCCGAAGGGUGUGGUUCCGAGGGCGGUCGCCGAGCAAGUGCCGUCUAUCGAGCCGCCGAUGGUUAGGCAGUACCGCGACGUUAAGCCGGAACCCAAGAUUAGCGCUUCGAAAACCGUAGUUUCCGUCAGCGACGAUCCGAAAGUAGGUCAGACGAAGGUGGUCACGACGAAGACUACCACGGUGAUCAAGCAAUUCGAUCAGACGCCGGCCAAGGUUAUCGCGAAAGAGAGCAGCGUGAUAGUUUCCCCCGAUAGAAAGGACGCCGUUAGCGAGAAGGAGAAACUCUCGAAGGAGGGCAAAGAGGUCGACGAGAAGUCGUCGGCUCCCGCGUCGCUCGCGCAGAAACCGGCGAAGGACGAUCAGAAGAAAUCGGACGUGAAAGCUCCUGUGGAUAAGGACAAGAAAAAGGAGAAAGAGAAGGUGGAGGCUGCACGAGUCGAGCAGAAAAAGCCGGACGCGAAAGCUCCUGCGGAUAAAGACAAGAAAAAGGAUAAGGAUAAAGAGAAAGACAAGGAGAAGGAUAAGGAUAAGGAUACCAAGCAGGUGAAAGCAUCUGCUUACGAAGACGUUUACAACGCGCAACAUCCUGCAGGCAGCGCGGAAGAGAAAACGGAGGAGGAGACGAAAAAGUCAAAGGACAGAGGCAGCGGAAUAUUCUCAGGUAUCUUCAAGGGCGGGAAACUGAAGAAGGGCAAGAAGGGCUCGAAGGAUACGUCCUUCGACAGCAGCGACGAAGAAGCAAAGACCGGCGCGAUAAAGGCUCCUGAACAGCUGGCGGAGCAGCCUGCCGACAAGAUCGCGGAUUCUCGUUUCGAUAGCGUGCUUCCGGAAAUCAUGGUCGCGCCCGACGUGAAGUCGGCCACCAUGGAGUUUCUCGAUGACUCCAGGCGAGUCGCUGCGGGCAUGCACGCGCUCUACGAAGGUCCCAGUAAAGCGGAGGACGCCGUGAAAGAAGAGACGAAGACCGAGACCGUCGAAAGCAGCGGCGAUGACGACGGCAAAGACAAAGCCGGCUUCUUCUCGAGUCUGUUCAAGAGCAAAACCAAGAAGGAUGAGACCGCCGACGGGACGGUGAUCCCCGUGAUCCACGUGGAGAAGCCGAAAGAGACUGCGGAGCAGAUCGCAAAGAAGGAGAAGAAGAAGCUGGCGGCGCUCGUGAAGGAGACCGAAGAGCAGCUGGAACAGCAGCUGCGCGAGAAGGCGAAGGACGAGACGGCCAAGGUCACCGAUGUGACCCUGCCGAGCGCGACUGUCGAGAAGCAGGUGGAGAAAGCCGUGAAGAACGGCACGAAGGCCGUCGAAGAUGCGAAGAGCAAGGUCGUCACGUCGAUCACAGACGAGCAACCGCGCGGCAAGGACGACGAAAAGGACGAGGAGGCAAAGGAGAAGAGCGGCUUCUUUGGCAUCUUCAAGAGCCCGAAAUCUCGAGAGAAGCGGCUCGGCAAGUCAAAGGAGACGUCCUUCGACAGCGGCGAUGAGGAGAUCCGGGUCGUCACGGAAAAGUUGUUGGACGACACACGGAAGAUCGCCGACGUCAGCGUCGUCCCGGUUGCGUACAAAACUGAUGGCACCAAAGUCACUCCGCAGGAAGAGGUGCGCACCUUCACCUCGGCCACGUUCUACGACGCCGACACGCCGGCCGACAAGACCGGUAAGUCCUAUGACGUGAUGCAAACGAAGACGACGAUCGAGAGGAUCGUAAUUCGCGAGGAGAUGAACGGGAAGGCAGACAUCGACAAGGAAAAGGAUCAGAAAGUAGACGCCAAAGCAGAUGCCGAGAAGGUCGUCUCGGAGGUGAAACCCGAAAGCACGGAACCGAAAGUGCCCGAGGAGGAGGCUGCCGAUGAAGUCGGCAAAGAGAAGAGCGGCGGCUUCUUCGGCAUGUUUAAGAGCCCGAAGCUGAAGAGCAAGAAGCGCAGCAGGUCCCGUGAGCAGAGUUCGUCGAAGGAGACCUCCUUCGACAGUGGGGACGAGGAGGUUCGCUUGGCGAACUUCGCGAAAGUACUGGAGGACACCAGACAGAUGGCGGACAGCAUGCAGCAACCGUCUGAAGAAAAGAUACUGGAGCAAGAGGUGUCUGCGCUCGUUAAGACCGCCCUGGAGCAAAUCAUGCAAGAGGAGCUGAAGAAGACCAGCACCUGCGAGGACGAGGCUACUGAGAAGGAGAAGGGAAGCGGCAUCUUCGGUAUAUUCCGAAGCCCCAAGCAGGCGAGAAGCUCCAGAAGCAGGUCCAAAGAGAAGACCCCGUCGCUGGAGUUACCGGACAGCGGCCAGGAGGACAUGCGAGAGGUAACGGCGAAGUUCCUGGAAGACUCGCGCAACAUGGCGCUUGCCACCGGCAAACCGACGGACGACAAAUCGACCAAGGACGCGAAAAAGUUUGAACAGCACGUUGCUGUUGCUGUAGAUGAUGUCGGGAAAGCCAUGAAGGAUGGCAAAGACGCGCUUGCCAGGAAAAUGGACGAAAAGACGUCAGACGCGGUCGACGCCGCCGAAGCAGCUAAAGACAAGACAACGAAGGAGGCGAAGAAAGCGAAGGAGAAGGGCGCGGGCUUCUUGUCGGGCAUCUUCAAGGGCACGAAACACGCCAUUGAGGACGCGACGGACGACGUAAAAGAGUUCUUGGACGAGACGAAGAAAGAAGCCGCUCUGGAGGAGGCACGAGCGAAAGAAGCGACAGCCGCUGGCGUGAAAGAAUUGGAGCAGAAGAAAGAUGCCAUGGUGACUGGCGCGAAAGAGGCCGUUGACAAGGCAGCGGCGGACGCCAAGGAUGUCAAGGACAAGACAGUAUCGACAGUGAAGGAGAAGAAGGAGAAGGCCGUGGAAAAAGUGUCGAAGGACGCGGAGAAGGCGGCGGACCUCGCGAAAGCUGCCGCUGACCAAGCGACUGCAGACGCGAAGAAAGUCAGCGAAAAAGUGGGAGCGACCGCAAAGGACGUUGCUCAAGCUAGCAAAGAUAUCAAAGAAGCAGUCACUGCGGAGGCAAAAGAGGAUGCGAAGAUCGCUAAGGAGAAGUUAUCCUCCGCCGCUGAGGCCUCUGCGGACGCCGCAGCGGCUGCGAAAGACAAAGCCGCCAAGGAGGCGAAGAAAGCGAAAGAAAAGGGCAGCGGAUUCUUCUCGGGUAUAUUCAAAGGUGCGAAACACGCCACGGAGGAUGUAACAGACGACGUGAAGGAGUUUUUGGAUGAAACGAAGAAGGAGGCUCAAAUAGAAGAAAAGCGCGCCAAAGAGAAGGCAGCAGCUGGUCUCAAGGACUUGAAGGAUAAGAAAGACGCUGCGGUAAGCGGAGCUCAAGAAGCAGCAGAGAAAGUCGCGGCUGACGUGAAAGAUGCUAAGGAUAAGACAGUAGCUGCUCUGAAGGAGAAGAAGGACAAAGUCGCGGAAGAAGUAUCGAAGGACACUCAGAAAGUCACCGAUACUACCAAAGCAGCUGGUGAGAAAGUGACGGAGGAAACGAAGAAAAUUGGUGAAAAAAUCAGCGCCACUGCUGUUGCUGUAGCAAAGGGUGCUAAGGAUACCAAGGACGCAGCAGUUAAAGAGGUGAAGGACGAUGCGAAAUUGGCGAAGGAGAAGCUAGAAGCGGGCGCAGAAGCCGUUGCGGAAAGUGCAGAGAGUGCGAAGGAUAAGGCGAGCAAGGAAGCGAAGAAAGCUAAAGAGAAGACCAGCGGAUUCUUCUCCGGGAUAUUUAAAGGCGCGAAACACGCUGUGGAAGACGCUACAGACGACGUUAAAGAGUUCUUGGAUGAAACAAAGAAGGAAGCUCAAUUAGAAGAAGAACGUACUAAAGAAAAAGCUGCGGCAGGUCUCAAAGACUUGAAGGAUAAGAAAGAGACUGUUGUAAGCGGAACUCAAGAAGCUGUAGGGAAAGUUGCAGUUGACGUGAAAGAUGCUAAGGAUAAGACAGUAGCUGCUUUGAAGGAGAAGAAGGGCAAAGUCGCGGAAGAAAUAUCGAAGGACACUCAGAAAGUCACCGAUACUACCAAAGCAGCUGGUGAAAAAGUGGCGGAGGAAACGAAGAAAAUUGGUGAGAAAAUCAGCGCCACUGCUGCUGAUGUAGCGAAGGGUGCUAAGGAUACCAAGGACGCAGCAGUUAAAGAAGUGAAAGACGAUGCGAAAUUGGCGAAAGAGAAAUUAGUCGCAGGCGCUGAGGCUGUCGCAGAAACAGCGGAAGCAGCAAAAGACAAAGCGAGCAAGGAAGCCAAGAAAGCUAAAGAGAAAACCAGUGGGUUCUUCUCUGGGAUAUUUAAAGGCGCGAAACAUACCGUAGAAGACGCAACCGAUGAUGUCAAGGAGUUUUUGGAUGAGACAAAGAAGGAAGCUCAGUUGGAAGAAGAACGUGCCAAGGAAAAGGCCGCUGCUGGACUCAAAGACUUGAAGGAUAAGAAGGAUGCUGUUGUGAGUGGGGUACAAGAAGCAGCAGACAAAGCUGUUGCUGGUGCCAAGGAUGCCAAGGACAAAACAGUUUCCGCUGUUAAAGAUAAGAAAGACAAAAUUGCAGAGGAGGUGUCAAAAGAUGCCCAGAAAGUCACCGACACCACAAAGGCUGCUGGUGAGAAAGUGGCGGAGGAAACGAAGAAGAUUAGUGAAAAAAUCAGCGCUACUGCUGCUGAUGUAGGAAAGGGCGCUAAGGAUACCAAGGACGCAGCAGUUAAAGAGAUAAAAGACGAUGCAAAAUUGGCGAAGGAGAAAUUGUCAGCAGGCGCUGAGGCUGUCGCAGGAACAGCUGAUGGAGCGAAGGAUAAGGCGACGAAGGAAGCCAAGAAAGCUAAAGAGAAGACCAGUGGUUUCUUUUCCGGAAUCUUCAAGGGAACCAAGCAUGCUGUUGAAGAUGCGGUUGAUGAUAUGAAGGAAUUCGUGGACGAGAGUAAGAAGGAAGCUGCUUUGGAAGAAGAGCGUGCUAAAGAAAAGGCCGCUGCGGGUCUUAAGGAUUUAAAGGAUAAGAAAGAUGCUGUCGUUAGCGGAACUCACGAAGCUGCAGAAAAAGUUGCAGCUGAUGUGAAAGACGCCAAGGACAAAACGGUAUCUGCCGUAAAAGAUAAAAAGGACAAAGUUGUGGAGGAAAUUUCGAAGGAUACCCAGAAGAUUGCUGACACUAGUAAAGCGGCUGGUGAAAAAGUGGCGAUCGAGACGAAGAAGAUCGCUGAGAAAGUAGGAUCAGCCGCAGCUGAUGUUGCGCAAGGCGCAAAGGACACCAAGGAUGCAGCAAUGAAGGAGGUGAAGGAAGAUGCGAAAUUGGCAAAAGAGAAAUUGGCAGCAGGCGCUGAGGCUGUCGCGGAAUCCGCAGAGGCUACUAAGGAUAAGGCCAGCAAGGAAGCGAAAAAAGCCAAGGAGAAGACUAGUGGUUUCUUCUCCGGAAUCUUCAAGGGAGCCAAGCAUGCAGUUGAAGAUGCGACUGAUGACAUGAAGGAAUUCCUGGACGAGACUAAGAAGGAAGCUCAAUUGGAGGAACAGCGGGCAAAAGAAAAGGUUGCUACUGGAGUCACGAACUUGAAGGAUAAAAAGGAUGCUGUCGUAAGUGGAGUCCAAGAAGCCGGUGAUAAGGUUGCCGCUGAUGUAAAAGACGCCAAGGAUAAAACAGCUGCUGCUGUCAAAGAUAAAAAAGACAAGAUUGCGGAGGAAGUCUCUAAGGGUGCUGAGAAGGCAGCCGACGUCACGAAAGCAGCUGGCGAGAAGGUAAUCUCGACUGCUGCGGAUGUAGCGCAAGGAGUCAAAGACACUAAGGAAGCAGCUGUUAAAGAGAUCAAAGAGGAUGCGAAACUAGCGAAGGAAAAAUUGACGGCUGGCGCUGAUGUCGUGGCUGAUGCCGCGGAUACUGCCAAAGAUAAGGCGAAGAAAGCCAAAGAGAAAGGUUCUGGCUUCUUUUCCGGCAUCUUCAAGGGCGCGAAACACGCUGCGGAGGACGUAAGUGAAGACAUCAAGGAACAUGCGGUCGACGCAAAGAAGGAAGCAGCUGAAGGAUUAGAGGAUUUGAAGCGUAAAAAAGACACUGUAGUAGACAGUGCCAAGGACAUCGUGGAUAAAGCAGCUGAGGGUGCAAAAGACGCCAAGGACAAGACAGUUUCAGCCGCGAAAGAGACGAAGGAUAAGAUCGUGGACACAGUCGCUAAGGACGCGGAAAAAGUGACGGUCACCUUGAAGGCAGCCGGCGAUGAUGUAACCACGAAAGUAAAGGAAAUCGGUUACAAAGCGGAAACCACAGCGGCUGACGUAGGCCGCGGUGUGAAAGACGCCAAGGAUUCGGUCGUCGCGGAAGCGAAACAAGACGCCAAAGUGGCGAAGGAGAAAUUGGCCGCCGGAGUUGAGUCCGUCGCGGACACAGCGGAAGCUGCCAAGGACAAGACAGCUAAGGAAGCGAAAAAGGCCAAAGAAAAGACUAGUGGUUUUCUCUCAGGGAUAUUCAAAGGAUCCAAGCACUCCGUAGAUAGCACUGCGGAGGACGUGAAGGAAUUCUUGGAAGAGACCAAAAAGGAAGCUGCAUUGGAACAAGCGCGCGUCAAAGAGGCAGCGGAAGCUGAACUGAAGGACCUGGAGCGCAAGAAAGAUAGUGCUGUUGCUGAUGUGAAAGAGGCGAAGGAUCUUACAACUGAAAAGAUAGCCGAGAAAAUCAGCAAAGCUGCUGAUGCAACCAAAGCGACAGGAGAAAAAGCAGUAGCUGAUACCAAACAACUUGCUAGCGAUAUCGCGCAAGGUAUUGCGGAAACUAAGGAUGGCAUAACGAAAGAAUUGAAAGAGGACGCAAAAACAACGAAAGACAAAAUCAAAGCAGGUGGCGAUGCAGUGGUAGACAGCGCUGUAGCUACGAAGGAUAAAGCAACGAAAGAAGCGAAGAAGGCUAAGGAGAAGGGUAGUGGCUUUCUUUCAGGAAUAUUCAAGAGCGCAAAACACUCCGCAGAAGAAGUAUCCGACGAUGUGAAGGAAUUUCUAGAUGAGACUAAGAAAGAAGCUGCAAUGGAGGAAGAACGUGCCAAGAAAAAAGCCACUGCUGGUCUCAAAGAUCUAAAGGAUAAAAAAGAUGCUGUUGUGAGCGGAGUACAGGAGACCGCUGAUAAAGCCGCUAUCGAAAUGAAAGAUGCGAAGGAUAAAACAGUAUCUGCUAUGAAAGACAAAAAGGACAAAAUUGUGGAAGAAAUUUCCAAGGACGCCCAAAAGGUUGCCGAUACUACGAAGGCAACCGGAGAGAAAAUUGCAACAGAAACGAAAAAGGCCGGAGAAAAAAUUGGAUCAGCUGCAGCAGGCGUCGUGCAAGGUGUUAAGGACACUAAGGACGCAGCAGUUAAAGAGGUGAAAGGUGAUACGGAAUUGGCGAAAGAGAAAUUAGCUGCAGGUGCUGAGGCUGUUGCAGAAACAGCGGAGGCAACAAAAGAUAAGGCGAGCAAGGAAGCCAAGAAAGCUAAAGAGAAGACCAGUGGGUUCUUCUCCGGGAUAUUCAAAGGCGCGAAACACACCGUAGAAGACGCAACCGACGAUGUCAAGGAAUUUUUGGAUGAGACAAAAAAGGAAGCUCAACUGGAAGAAGAACGUGCCAAGGAAAAGGCUGCUGCUGGACUCAAAGAUAUGAAGGAUAAGAAGGAUGCUAUUGUGAGUGGAGUACAAGAAGCAGCAGACAAAGCUGUUGCAGGUACCAAGGAUGCUAAGGACAAGACAGUUUCCGCUGUUAAAGACAAGAAAGACAAAAUUGCAGAGGAGGUGUCAAAGGAUGCCCAGAAAGUCGCCGACACCACAAAGGCAGCUAGUGAGAAAAUGGUGGAAGAAACGAAGAAGAUUAGUGAAAAAAUUAGCGCAACUGCCGCUGAUGUAGUGCAGGGCGCUAAGGAUACCAAGGACGCAGCAGUUAAAGAGGUGAAGGACGAUGCAAAAUCGGCGAAGGAGAAAUUGUCAGCAGGCGCUGAGGCUGUUGCAGAAACAGCUGAUGGAGCGAAGGAUAAGGCGACGAAGGAAGCCAAGAAAGCUAAAGAGAAGACCAGUGGUUUCUUUUCCGGAAUCUUCAAAGGAGCCAAGCAUGCUGUUGAAGAUGCGGUUGAUGACAUGAAGGAAUUUGUGGACGAGAGUAAGAAGGAAGCUGCUUUGGAAGAAGAGCGUGCUAAAGAAAAGGCCGCUGCGGGUCUUAAGGAUUUAAAGGAUAAGAAAGAUGCUGUCGUUAGCGGAACUCACGAAGCUGCAGAAAAAGUUGCAGCUGAUGUGAAAGACGCCAAGGACAAAACGGUAUCUGCUGUAAAAGAUAAAAAGGACAAAGUCGUGGAGGAAAUUUCGAAGGAUACCCAGAAGAUUGCUGACACUACUAAAGCGGCUGGUGAAAAAGUGGCGAUCGAGACGAAGAAGAUCGCUGAGAAAGUAGGAUCAGCCGCAGCUGAUGUUGCGCAAGGCGCUAAGGACACCAAGGAUGCAGCAGUGAAGGAGGUGAAGGAAGAUGCGAAAUUGGCAAAAGAGAAAUUGGCAGCUGGCGCUGAGGCUGUCGCGGAGUCCGCAGAGGCUACUAAGGAUAAGGCCAGCAAGGAAGCGAAAAAAGCCAAGGAGAAGACUAGUGGUUUCUUCUCCGGAAUCUUCAAGGGAGCCAAGCAUGCAGUUGAAGAUGCGGCUGAUGACAUGAAGGAAUUCCUGGACGAAACUAAGAAGGAAGCUCAAUUGGAGGAACAGCGGGCAAAAGAAAAGGUUGCCACAGGUGUCAAGGAUUUAAAGGAUAAAAAGGACGCUGCCGUCGCCGGAGUUCAAGAGUCUGUAGAGAAGGCAGCUGCUGAUGUAAAGGAUGCAAAAAGCAAAACAGUUUCCACUAUUAAGGAGAAGAAGGAUAAAGUUGUUGAGGAAGUUUCCGAAGAUGCCCAGAAGGUUGCCGAUAUUACGAAAGCAGCAGGUGAGAAAGUGUCAACGGAGACGAAGAAAGUCAGUGAGAGAAUAGGAGCCGCAGCUGCAGACGUUACUCAGGGAGUCAAGGACGCCAAGGAUACGGCGGUAAAGGAAGUGAAGGAAGACACCAAAUUGGCGAAGGAGAAAUUGGCUGCUAGCUCUGAGGCUGUCGCAGAAACCGCGGAAGAUGUAAAAGAUAAAGCGAAGAAAGCCAAAGAGAAAGGAAGUGGUUUCUUCUCGAGCAUCUUCAAAGGCGCGAAGCACACCGCUGAUGAGAUAGUUGACGACACGAAGGAUCUCGUUGACGACGUGAAGAAGGAAGCGGCUUCCGAAGGUGAACGCGUGAAAAAAAUGGCAGAAUCUGGCUUGGAAGAUUUGAAGGACAAGAAAGACAGUGCAAUCGACAGCAUGAAGGAGGCGAAAGACGACGCUAAAACAGCUGUGAAGGACGCAUCGGAUAAGGUGGCAGAAAAAUUAUCUGAUGGUGUCCAUAAGGCUUCCGAAGGCGUGAAAGACGUGAGUGGCAAGCUGGCGGCCGAUGUGAAGGAAGCCGGCGAGAAGACAAAGUCAGCCGGACGAGAUUUCGUGGAAGAUGCUAAGGAUACUAAGGAUGCGAUUGCAAAGAAGGUGAAGGAGGACGCGCAGGCAGGAAAGGAGAAGUUAACAGCUGGGGCGGAGGUUGUCGCCGACAAGGCGGAAACGGCCAAGGACAAGGUCGCCAAGGAAGCGAAGAAGGCCAAGGACAAGGGUAGCGGUUUCCUUUCGGGCAUGUUCAAAGGUGCAAAGCAGAGUGCCGAGAGUGCGACUGACGAUGUGAACAAAUUCUUAGACGAAAUGCGCAGGGACGCGACGUUGGAGCAAGAACGUGCGAAGGAGGCAGCGGCGGAAGGCUUGAAAAACCUGGAACACAAGAAGGAUACCGUGGUGAGUGGUGUAAAAGAUACAGCUGAUCGAGCUGUUGCUAGCGUAAAGGAUGCCAAGGAUAAGACCGUAGCAGCUGUGAAAGACACAAAGGAUAAGAUCGCAGAGAAAGUGUCGGAGGACAUCGACAAAGCUUCUGAUGCUAUGAAAGCUGCCAAGGCCAAAGUGGCAUCAGAAACGAAAGAGGUUGGUGAAAAGAUCGACUCAACAGCACGCGACGUGGCUCAAGGAGUCGUGGAUGUCAAAGACGCAGCUGUCAAGGAAGUUCAAGACGAUGCAAAGAUGGUGAAAGACAAAGUAGCAGCCGGUGCUGAAGCAGUAGCCGAAGGCGCCCACACUGCUAAGGAUAAAGCUAGCAAGGAAACGAAGAAGGCUAAGGAAAAGGGAUCUGGCUUCUUGUCAGGUAUCUUUAAAGGCGCAAAACAUGCCGUAGAUGAUGCAACCGACGACAUGAAGGAGUUUUUGGAGGAAACGAAGAAAGAAGCUCAGGCAGAAGAACAACGGGCCAAGGAAAGAGCCGCUGCUGGUCUCAAGGACUUGAAGGAUAAAAAGGAUGCGGUUGUUAGUGGAGUCCAAGAGUCGGCAGACAAAGUUAUUACUGACGUGAAAGAUGCAAAGGAUCAAACGGUUUCUGCUGUCAAAGAGAAGAAGGACAAGGUCGUGGAGAGUGUGGCGAAAGACACCCAGAAGGUUGCCGACACCACGAAGGCGGCUAGCGAAAAAGUAGCAGAGGAAACGAGAAAGAUCGGCGAGAAGAUCAGCGUAACUGCCGCGGAUGUAGCGCAGGGAUCCAAAGACACCAAGGAUGCAGCGAUUAAGGAAGUGAAGGAAGAUGCCAAAUUGGCGAAAGAUACGUUGGCAGCCGGAGUCGGUGCCGUGGCCGACAGUGCUGAAGCUGCCAAAGACAAGACAACGAAGGAAGUGAAGAAGGCUAAGGAGAAAGGAGCCGGUUUCCUGUCUGGCAUAUUCAAAGGUACGAAACAUACCGUGGAAGAAGCAGCCGACGAUGUGAAGGAGUUCUUGGAUGAAACGAAGAAAGAAACUCAACUGGAAGAGCAGCACAUCAAAGAAAAGGCAGCAGCUGGUCUCAAGGACUUGAAAGAUAAAAAAGACGCUGCCGUAAGCGGAGCUCAAGAAGCCGCAGAGAUAGUCGCGGCUGACAUGAAGGAUGCUAAGGAUAAGACAGUAGCUGCUGUGAAGGAGAAGAAGGACAAAGUCGCGGAAGAAGUAUCGAAGGACACUCAGAAGGUCACCGAUACUACCAAAGCAGCUGGUGAGAAAGUGACGGAGGAAUCGAAGAAAAUUGGCGAAAAAAUCGGCACUGCUGCGGCGGAAGUUGCGCAAGGUGCUAAGGAUCUCAAAGAUGCAGCGGUGAAAGAAGUUAAAAAAGAUACGAAAGUGGUGAAGGACAAACUGGCAGCUGGGUCCGCAGCAGUAGCUGACGGUGCGGAAGCAGUCAAAGACAAGGCAUCUAAAGAAGCGAAGAAGGCUAAGGAAAAGGGUUCUGGCUUCCUGUCGGGCAUAGUCAAGGGCGCGAAACAUGCCGUCGAGAGCGCCAAAGGCGACGUCAAGGAUUUCCUGGACGAGACAAAGCACGAAGCUGAAUUGGAGGAAGCUAGUGCCAAGGAGGCUGCAGCGGCCAGUCUGAAAGAGCUGGAGCAUAAAAAGGACGCUGUUAUCAGUGGCGUUAAGGACGCAGCCGAUCGAACUGUCGCUGGAGUGAAGGAUGCCAAAGAGAAGACUGUAACAGCUGCAAAGGACACGAAAGAUAAAGUCACCGAGAAGGUGUCCGAGGAUUUGGACAAGGCCGCUGGAGCGGCCAAGGCAGCUAAGGACAAGAUGACUUCAGGUGCCAAGACAGUCGGUGAGAAGCUAGAGUCCACGGCACACGACAUCGCACAGGGUACCGCUGACGCUAAGGACGCAGCAGUCAAGGAGAUUCAGGACGACGCGAAGAUAGUAAAAAGCAAGAUGGCGGCUGGUGUCGAAGCCGUAGCCGACGGUGCGGACGCAGCCAAGGAUAAAGCGACUAAGGAAGCAAAGAAGGCUAAAGAAAAAGGCUCUGGCUUCUUGUCAGGCAUAGUCAAGGGCGCGAAACACGCUGUCGAGAGUGCCAAAGACGACGUCAAGGAGUUCCUGGACGAAACGAAACAUGAAGCUGAAUUGGAGGAAGCUCGUGCCAAGGAGGCAGCGGCAGCCGGAUUGAAGGAACUGAAGGACAAGAAGGAUAGCGUGGUCGCCGAUACGAAAGAGAUGAAAAACAAGAUGGCCAAAGAAGCGGGAAAAGCCGCGGACGCGACGAAGGCCACGGUGCAGAAACUGGCAAGCGAAACCCAGAAAGCUGGUGAAAAAGUAGAAAUCAAAGCGACAGAGGUCGCGCAUGAUAUCAAGGACGCCAAGGAGAGUCUGGGCAAGAAGUUCGAGGAAGACACGAAGGCAGUGAAGGACAAGUUAGCGACGAGCGCUGAAGCCGUUGCGGACGGUGCCAAAGCGGCCAAGGACCAGCUGGCGAAAGACGCCAAGAAGACGAAGGAUAAGAGCUCGGAUUUCCUAACUGGGGUAGUCCAAGGUGCGCAGCAGGCGAAACAAGACCUUACCGGCGACUUGAAGGAUUUCUUGGAGAUGACGAGACAAGAAGCAGCCAUUGAUGAGGCUCUCGCUAGAGAGGCCGCGACGGCGAGACUGCAGGAGCUCGGGCAAACGAAGGACGCCAAGGAGAAGACCGGUAAAGUAGUCGAAGAGAUUACGCACGUCACAAAGAUAGCGGUCGAGAAAGCCAAGUCCAGCGGUGAAGACGCGGCGCAGAAGGCUAAACGCGCCAAGGACGCUGUCGUAAGCGAAGUGAAGGACGACGCGAAAGUCGUCAAGGAGAAAUUAAUAGCCGUCGCCGACGGUGCGGAGGCCGCCAAGGACAAGAGCGUGAAGGAGACGAAGAAGGCGAAACAAAAGGCCGGAGGCUUCCUAUCGGGCGUAGUGAAGAGCGCCAAACACGCAGUAGAGGGCGCCACUGACGACAUGCGAGACUUCUUGCAGGAGACGAAGCAGGAAGCGAUCGCGGAAGAGGCUCGCGCGAAAGAAAGAGUCGCGGCGAAGCCGGCUAAGAGCGACGCGAAGGACAAGUCCAACGGCGCUGUGAAAGACGCCAAGAGGAAGGUCUCCCCGAGAGUCCCCAAGCUCGAGAGCGCGAGAUCCUUGUCGACGUCGUCGUCGUCGUCGUCGUCGUCAACGCUGACAGACGCGCGCGUAGGUGGUCACCGCGAGGUCGCGUCGGCGUCCGAGCGCGUUCAGGAUAUAGUCGGCCGCGACUCCGAGGCCGCCAGGCUGGAGAAGUCGGCCCCCGCCGACGUCGAGCAUUUAUCCGAAUCAGUUAGGGUUAAGAGAGUCUCUCGCAUUCCACAAAAGAUUAGUCCGGCUAAGGAUAUCGGGACCGGGGCCGGCGGUCACACGUUGGCCACCGCGUCGGACGAUUCAGGGUCGGGUUCGGGUUCGGCUUCGGGUUCGAGUAGGUUAGAGGCAGUAUCUAUGGUAGGGCACCCCGAGCCUCACACACGGCACACCGUCACCACAGUCGUGACAAAGUCUGUGCGAACGACCCCACCACCACCCGGUCUCGCCGAGUUCAGUGACAGUAGAACCGAAGACGUGACCGAAGAGGCUGCGAGGCGGGCGCAGAAUCUGGCGGGACAGGCGUACGUGUCGAGCAAAGCAGUGGCAGAAACGCACGGUACAGUACGGUCCGUUCGCUCGGCCGGUGCGAUAGAAGCGAAGACUAGGACGAAGACACCUGGUAGAGCCAGCUGCGUGUGUUGGAUGAGCAUAGCCGUCGCUGCGUUGGCGCUUCUAGUAGCGCUUAUACUUGCCCUGGAGCCACAAACGUUCCAACGUGUCAUCCACACCCUGUCUAACAAUGCCCCGAGGCAAGCCGGAAUCUGACUUUUUGCAACAUAGCGAGCCAUCCUUCAUGGAAACGACAACGAUCGAGGUGGAUCCUGUCACGCAGGAAAGUAUAACGACGACCACACGAACGGAGACGAGAACAA
RNAcentral lists this unclassified non-coding RNA (19732 nucleotides) under Harpegnathos saltator (Jerdon's jumping ant). RNAcentral's name for it is "ankyrin-3, transcript variant X9". Lineage: Eukaryota; Metazoa; Arthropoda; Insecta; Hymenoptera; Formicidae. The record is from RNAcentral.